CUACAUUGGAACAAGAUACGAGGUGUAUAGGUAAACACUGAAGGUGUAGCUUUUAAAGCCCAAUAAUCUAAAUAGCAGCAUUUUUCAUGUCAAUGGGCCCAAGCCCAGUUAUUGUAAAUCAGAAAAUGGACAACACGUAUAUGCAACGAAGGUGAUCAAGCGAUAGAACUGUGAGAUCUCUCUCUGCUUCAGUGUCCAGAGGAAUUCGUUUUCUCUGAUCGGAAUCUAGAAUUAACGAAUCGGCAUGGGUUUCUUGAUAACAUCACUAAUCUUCCUUGUGGUUGGGAUCAUCGCGUGCCUCUGCACCAGAAUUUGCUGCAACAGAGGACCUUCUACCAAUCUAUUUCACCUUACUCUGGUUAUUACUGCAACAAUAUGCUGCUGGAUGAUGUGGGCGAUUGUAUAUCUGGCACAAAUGAAACCGCUCAUAGUACCUAUACUAAGUGAAGGCGAAUAAGUGUGUGUGAACAGAUGUAGCUUCUUGUAUGUUAGAGAACAUGGAUCAAAGAUUGGUUGCUGGAGAGAAUUUGAUAUCAGCUCUCACGAAUCGUUCAUUAUUUUCUAAGGGUGGAUAUGUAUGUAUUUCUUGCUGGAUAAUGGCAUUUCUGUUGUUGCUUUAUGUUGCCGUGUUAUAGUUCUAUUCAACCCUCAUUCAUUUCAGAUGUCGGUUCAAUUUCGAAUCAUUAGUGAAAAAUAAAUAAAAUUUACAAAUUAGUCUUAAAUAAGUUAGAAAGUAACAUUAUUUUAAUGAAAUACUAUUGAUGUCCUUUGAUAACAA
Molecule: non-coding RNA, 778 nt
Organism: Cicer arietinum (chickpea)
Lineage: Eukaryota; Viridiplantae; Streptophyta; Magnoliopsida; Fabales; Fabaceae
Source: RefSeq, a predicted model, not a curated record